RNAcentral lists this ribosomal RNA (72 nucleotides) under Salmonella enterica. Its description in RNAcentral is "partial 16S ribosomal RNA". It matches the Rfam family "Bacterial small subunit ribosomal RNA", at positions 1 to 71 of the family's 1533-position model. The record is from RNAcentral. Lineage: Bacteria; Pseudomonadati; Pseudomonadota; Gammaproteobacteria; Enterobacterales; Enterobacteriaceae.
UUUAUUGGAGAGUUUGAUCCUGGCUCAGGACGAACGCUGGCGGCGUGCCUAAUACAUGCAAGUCGAGCGAGG